CUUGCAAGUUACAACUUACAACGCUAGGCUGCUAACAUAUAGGUUAUUGGGGCACGAGGACAACGACCCAGCUUUUCUUAUAUGGAUCUGUCUUUGGUGCUGAUUAUUUUUUUGAUGAAUGAUUGUAACUGUAUUAAUAAAGAUUACAUAAAGAUGCAAUUGUUGUUCAACAGAGCUGAUGAACAAACAACAGAUGAAAACAAAGAAUACCGGAGCAAAACUCCAAGUUGACAGUCACAUGAAAUGACCUUAAAUCGAUUUCAAUAUCGCCAAAGAUUCUGAUCCAGUGAACCGAAUUGACCAAUAGAGCUGAAUACAAUUAGGGAUCAUCUCGUUGACAAUCAACCAAAGAGCCAAAUAGAAAAUCCAACAAUAAGAAUCAGCAAGAAAGAAAAAACAUCCCAACAAAAAAGACAAAAGCCUAAAGCAACUCCUCCCGCAGUUGGGCAGGUAAAGUGUUCGCCAACCAAAGCCUGCAAUCCGCUUCUGGAACCUUCCCCUCAGCGGCAACCCAACCCGAGAUAGAAACAACAAUCUUCGAGAUGAUAUCGAUCAAGGACAUGACUUUAUCUUGGAAGAUUCUUGAAUUUCUUUCGAGCCAUAUAUUCCAGAACACGGCAUGAAGAAGGUUAUGAGCAUACUUUGAAUUUCCAAAGGUAAGAGAGGGCCAAGUAUUAAUAAAAGUCUUGACAUCCAAUGGAGGAGCUGUUUUGCAAUUUAAUUAGUGGGCAAUCUCAUGUAAGAGAAUCCUCUCACAUACGAAGCGGCAAUCCUUC
RNAcentral lists this long non-coding RNA (776 nucleotides) under Linum usitatissimum (flax). Its description in RNAcentral is "long non-coding RNA (LUSI_LNC003504)". The record is from RNAcentral. Lineage: Eukaryota; Viridiplantae; Streptophyta; Magnoliopsida; Malpighiales; Linaceae.